This 914-nucleotide ribosomal RNA is filed under the name uncultured marine archaeon. RNAcentral's name for it is "bacterial SSU rRNA". It matches the Rfam family "Archaeal small subunit ribosomal RNA", at positions 1 to 921 of the family's 1478-position model. The record is from RNAcentral.
UUCCGGUUGAUCCCGCCGGAGGCUACCGCUAUUGGAGUUCGAUUAAGCCAUGCGAGUCGCGAGUCUUAGGGACUCGGCGUACCGCUCAGUAACACGUGGGUAACCUGCCCUAUGCUGGGGGAUAACCUCGGGAAACUGAGAAUAAUACCCCAUAGUUCACCACGCCUGGAACGGUGGGUGGAUGAAAGCUCCGGCGGCAUAGGAUGGGCCUGCGGCGUAUCAGGUUGUAGGGGGUGUAAUGUACCCUCUAGCCAUCUACGCGUACGGGUGUUGGGAGACAUCGCCCGGAGAUGGAUUCUGAGACACGAAUCCAGACCCUACGGGGUGCAGCAGGCGCGAAAACUUGGCAAUGCGAGAAAUCGUGACCAGGGAACUCCAAGUGCAUCGGGUAAGACCGAUGCUUUUCUUGACUCUUCAAAGGUCUUGGAAUAAGGGGUGGGUAAGGACGGUGCCAGCCGCCGCGGUAAUACCGGCGCCCCAAGUGGUAGUCGCUUUUAUUGGGCCUAAAACGUCCGUAGCCGGUCUGGUACAUUCGUGGGUAAAUCAACCAGCUCAACUGGUUGAAUUCUGCGAGCACGGCCAGACUUGGGACCGGGAGAGGUGUGGGGUACUCUCAGGGUAGGGGUAAAAUCCUGUCAUCCUGAGAGGACCACCUGUUGCGAAGGCGCCACACUAGAACGGAUCCGACGGUCAGGGACGAAGCCUAGGGGCACGAACCGGAUUAGAUACCCGGGUAGUCCUAGGUGUAAACGCUGUGGACUUGAUGUUGGGGGCGCUCCGAGCGCACUCAGUGUCGAAGCGAAGGUGAUAAGUCCACUGCCUGGGGAGUACGGUCGCAAGGCUGAAACUUAAAGGAAUUGGCGGGGGAGCACCGCAACCUGAGGAUUGUGCGGUUUAAUUGGAUUCAACGCCGG